Molecule: ribosomal RNA, 445 nt
Filed under: uncultured bacterium
Lineage: Bacteria
Description: partial 16S ribosomal RNA
Rfam family: Bacterial small subunit ribosomal RNA
Source: RNAcentral
GUGAGGAAUAUUGGUCAAUGGGCGAGAGCCUGAACCAGCCAAGUCGCGUGAAGGAAGAAGGAUCUAUGGUUCGUAAACUUCUUUUGCAGGGGAAUAAAGUGCAGGACGUGUCCUGUUUUGUAUGUACCCUGAGAAUAAGGAUCGGCUAACUCCGUGCCAGCAGCCGCGGUAAUACGGAGGAUCCGAGCGUUAUCCGGAUUUAUUGGGUUUAAAGGGUGCGUAGGUGGUUUGAUAAGUCAGAGGUGAAAGUUUGCAGCUUAACUGUAAAAAUGCCGUUGAAACUGUCGGACUUGAGUGUAAAUGAGGUAGGCGGAAUGCGUGGUGUAGCGGUGAAAUGCAUAGAUAUCACGCAGAACUCCGAUUGCGAAGGCAGCUUACUAAGCUACAACUGACACUGAAGCACGAAAGCGUGGGGAUCAAACAGGAUUAGAUACCCCUGUAGUCC